GCGAACGCUGGCGGCAGGCUUAACACAUGCAAGUCGAACGGGCUUCUUCGGAAGUCAGUGGCAGACGGGUGAGUAACACGUGGGAACGUGCCCUUCGGUUCGGAAUAACUCAGGGAAACUUGAGCUAAUACCGGAUACGCCCUUUUGGGGAAAGGUUUACUGCCGAAGGAUCGGCCCGCGUCUGAUUAGCUUGUUGGUGGGGUAACGGCCUACCAAGGCGACGAUCAGUAGCUGGUCUGAGAGGAUGAUCAGCCACACUGGGACUGAGACACGGCCCAGACUCCUACGGGAGGCAGCAGUGGGGAAUAUUGGACAAUGGGCGCAAGCCUGAUCCAGCCAUGCCGCGUGAGUGAUGAAGGCCUUAGGGUUGUAAAGCUCUUUUGUCCGGGACGAUAAUGACGGUACCGGAAGAAUAAGCCCCGGCUAACUUCGUG
Molecule: ribosomal RNA, 434 nt
Filed under: uncultured bacterium
Lineage: Bacteria
Description: partial 16S ribosomal RNA
Rfam family: Bacterial small subunit ribosomal RNA
Source: RNAcentral